This 386-nucleotide ribosomal RNA is filed under the name uncultured bacterium. Its description in RNAcentral is "bacterial SSU rRNA". It matches the Rfam family "Bacterial small subunit ribosomal RNA", at positions 30 to 418 of the family's 1533-position model. The record is from RNAcentral.
AUUGAACGCUGGCGGCAUGCCUUACGCAUGCAAGUCGAACGGCAGCGGACCUUCGGGUGCCGGCGAGUGGCGAACGGGUGAGUAAUAUAUCGGAACGUACCUUUCAGUGGGGGAUAACGUAGCGAAAGUUACGCUAAUACCGCAUAUUCUGUGAGCAGGAAAGCAGGGGAUCGCAAGACCUUGCGCUGAUUGAGCGGCCGAUAUCAGAUUAGCUAGUUGGUGAGGUAAAGGCUCACCAAGGCGACGAUCUGUAGCGGGUCUGAGAGGAUGAUCCGCCACACUGGAACUGAGACACGGUCCAGACUCCUACGGGAGGCAGCAGUGGGGAAUUUUGGACAAUGGGCGCAAGCCUGAUCCAGCCAUGCCGCGUGAGUGAAGAAGGCCUC